AUUGAACGCUGGCGGCAUGCCUUACACAUGCAAGUCGAACGGCAGCGCGGGAGCAAUCCUGGCGGCGAGUGGCGAACGGGUGAGUAAUACAUCGGAACGUGCCCAAUCGUGGGGGAUAACGCAGCGAAAGCUGUGCUAAUACCGCAUACGAUCUACGGAUGAAAGCAGGGGAUCGCAAGACCCUGCGCGAAUGGAGCGGCCGAUGGCAGAUUAGGUAGUUGGUGAGGUAAAGGCUCACCAAGCCUUCGAUCUGUAGCUGGUCUGAGAGGACGACCAGCCACACUGGGACUGAGACACGGCCCAGACUCCUACGGGAGGCAGCAGUGGGGAAUUUUGGACAAUGGGCGAAAGCCUGAUCCAGCCAUGCCGCGUGCAGGAUGAAGGCCUUCGGGUUGUAAACUGCUUUUGUACGGAACGAAACGGUCUUUUCUAAUAAAGAAGGCUAAUGACGGUACCGUAAGAAUAAGCACCGGCUAACUACGUG
RNAcentral lists this ribosomal RNA (484 nucleotides) under uncultured bacterium. Its description in RNAcentral is "partial 16S ribosomal RNA". It matches the Rfam family "Bacterial small subunit ribosomal RNA", at positions 30 to 507 of the family's 1533-position model. The record is from RNAcentral.